Molecule: ribosomal RNA, 487 nt
Filed under: uncultured bacterium
Lineage: Bacteria
Description: bacterial SSU rRNA
Rfam family: Bacterial small subunit ribosomal RNA
Source: RNAcentral
GACGAACGCUGGCGGCGCGCCUAACACAUGCAAGUCGAACGGAGUUUCCCCUUCGGGGGGAGCUUAGUGGCGGACGGGUGAGUAACACGUGAGGAACCUGCCUUUGAGAGCGGGAUACCGUCUGGAAACGGACGUUAAUACCGCAUAAUGCAGCGAGGCCACAUGGCCAUGCUGCCAAAGAUUUAUCGCUCAAAGAUGGCCUCGCGCCUGAUUAGAUAGUUGGCGGGGUAACGGCCCACCAAGUCUGCGAUCAGUAGCCGGACUGAGAGGUCGAACGGCCACAUUGGGACUGAGAUACGGCCCAGACUCCUACGGGAGGCAGCAGUGGGGGAUAUUGCACAAUGGGCGAAAGCCUGAUGCAGCGACGCCGCGUGAGGGAAGACGGUUUUCGGAUUGUAAACUCCUGUCAUGUGUGAACAAGGUUGUCGUGUUAAUAGCAUGGCAAAUUGAUGGUAACACAAGAGGAAGAGACGGCUAACUCUGUGCC